GCAUAAGAACUUUCUUCUCUGGCAGUGUGGUAGUCUAGAUACCCUGAAUGAUCCUUUCAAUUGAAACUACUAAAAUGAUGGAUAAAAAUAUAAUAAUAACAUCCUUUUUAAUGCAUUGCUAAGCUGGCAAGAAAGGAAGAAUUCCAGGAGUUGAGGAGGGUAGGGAGUAAAAGCAGGAACCCUGGGAGGCAGGUAAGUACCAAAGCUGGCCUUCUCCCUGAAAACUGUUGUUGAUCUUAAGGCAGUGAGGAUAGGAGAUGAAACAACCCAAGUCUGAAGAUAUAACAGAAGAUGCAGUGCUGCAUAAACCCCAGUCCCCAAGGGGCAACAUCCCCAGUAGAUGGAAAAACGAGAAGUCUGAGAUUUAGAAGCGUAUAUACAGGAAAGAAACUUGCUUGUUUUGACCUCUGAUGAUGGAAGAAAAAGACCAAAUUUUCUUUGAGAUUUCCUAACCACACACCAGCUCUCACAUGGUUUCCAGUCAUCAUUUAUCCUACU
This 498-nucleotide long non-coding RNA is filed under the name Homo sapiens (human). Its description in RNAcentral is "non-protein coding lnc-KDM6B-2:1". The record is from RNAcentral. Lineage: Eukaryota; Metazoa; Chordata; Mammalia; Primates; Hominidae.